AUUAAAGAUGAACACAGAGAGAUGAGACUGUUUGUGAACCAACAGACCUUAAAAACCUCCUGCUGUGUUUCUCUGCUAUGGAUCAGUGUGAGGACAGAGAGGAGGGAGUCCCUCCCUCUAAAAGCUCUCUGUGUGGGGAACAUGACAGCCAGACCAAAGCUCAGAGGAUGCAGCAGCAGAGAGCAGACUCUCCUGAACCCAGCUGUGUGUCCAUGAAGAGUGACCGGUCUAUGAUACUUCCUAUUAAGUUUAAAGAUGGACAACCUGCUGAAGG
Long non-coding RNA from Scomber japonicus (chub mackerel), 274 nucleotides. RefSeq lists it as uncharacterized. The transcript is spliced from 3 exons. Lineage: Eukaryota; Metazoa; Chordata; Actinopteri; Scombriformes; Scombridae. The record is from RefSeq and is a predicted model, not a curated record.